AUAACAAUACAGGACUCUUUCGAGGCCCUGUAAUUGGAAUGAGUACACUUUAAAUCCUUUAAUGAGGAUUUAUUGGAGGGCAAGACCCAUGCAUGCUGCAGCUGAAACUCCAC
Pelobates cultripes (western spadefoot toad) is the source of this 113-nucleotide non-coding RNA. The record is from the annotation of a GenBank genome assembly. Lineage: Eukaryota; Metazoa; Chordata; Amphibia; Anura; Pelobatidae.